RNAcentral lists this long non-coding RNA (619 nucleotides) under Oryza brachyantha (malo sina). Its description in RNAcentral is "long non-coding RNA (OBRA_LNC002270)". Lineage: Eukaryota; Viridiplantae; Streptophyta; Magnoliopsida; Poales; Poaceae. The record is from RNAcentral.
CAGUGGGAAAACCUGCUAUACAUGCAAACCAUCAAAGACCAUCUCAAAUAUCAGACAUGCAUUCCAUCAAGCAGGGAUAAUGUCAUGCAAAUGGCUUCCUUGCCCUUAUUAGCACACGGUGACCUGAUCAGUUGAUACCUUUGUGUUUCUUGAACUUGAAUAAUUCCACCAUAUUCAAAUCUGUGUGCAAGGCGAUGAGUUUUGCAACCCUGCAGAGAUAUACCAACUGCCGAUGUGAUACCGACUUCUGCAGUAUGGAGUAUUAGGAAAGCCUCCAAAUUUGGAGCAUCCUGCAAACACAAUACUUGGGGCUCCCUUUUUCUAGGCGUAGACCAACGAAGGUAGAUCUCCUAGCCAUUGGUUGAUAAUGUCACAUGACAACUCUUAUGGUAGAUGACAGCCCAGCUAUCCUGAAAUAGUCACAUAACCUUGGACAAAGCAGUCAUUGCCUCAAUUUCGAUUUAUCUCUUCAUUGCAAUUAACCUGCUGACUUGCGUCAUAAAAGAAAUAGACAAGAUAAGAAUAUACUUUCUCUAGAAGGGAAGCAGGGAGGAAUAGCUAGGUGGACAUUAUAGUGAGAUGUGAAUGAUUAAGAUGGGAUUUGCCCGUCCUAAUUAGA